This 347-nucleotide ribosomal RNA is filed under the name Gastrodermus cf. elegans 'Columbia'. RNAcentral describes it as "partial 12S ribosomal RNA". It matches the Rfam family "Bacterial small subunit ribosomal RNA", at positions 870 to 1384 of the family's 1533-position model. Lineage: Eukaryota; Metazoa; Chordata; Actinopteri; Siluriformes; Callichthyidae. The record is from RNAcentral.
CGCCAGGGGACUACGAGCAUAGCUUAAAACCCAAAGGACUUGGCGGUGUCUCAGACCCACCUAGAGGAGCCUGUUCUAGAACCGAUAACCCCCGUUAAACCUCACCACUCCUUGUUAAUCCCGCCUAUAUACCGCCGUCGCCAGCUUACCCCAUGAGGGUAUAACAGUAAGCAAAAUGGAUAAGUCCCAAAACGUCAGGUCGAGGUGUAGCGCACGAAGUGGGAAGAAAUGGGCUACAUUUUCUAACACAGAAAAUUACGAAUGGUUUACUGAAACACACACCUGAAGGAGGAAUUAGUAAUAAAAAGCAAAUAGAGAGUCCUUUUGAACCAGGGUCUGAAACACGC